AUAAUCAAGACGAAGAAGAAGUUCACCCUAUCUCCUAUCUCCUAUCUCCUAUCUCUUUCAUCUUCUCCGAUCUCGUCGUUUGCUUCCGAUCUCUUUGGAUUCCUCUUUUCCGUACGUCGUAGGUUGCUCGGCUAAUUGAUUUGUACACAUAGGGUCAUUGUUAUCUUCGCUUGUGAUGAUGAUGCGGACUGUCUCUCUACCACUCUCUCAUCAUAAGAUCCAUCAAGCUUCUGGAUACCAUAAUAGUAUUGCUUGUAAAAAUCGUGUGUAUUUAACACAGACACGUCUUUCAUCAUUUUCCACGAGACGAGACGUUUGGAGUCUUCAGCUUUUCGAGACCUUGCGUGGGUUCAAAGCCCCUGUAUCAUCUUGUAGUAAUGCAUUCGUUUGCCGAGCAGCUCUCUUUCCAGGGGGUGGAAGCCACGGCCCCAUUGUUAAAUCAACUGCACUAGUACUCACAAGGGCAUGUGAUGCUUUACAUGGAAAUCCUCAUUAAUGAAACUACUUUCAGCAGUUGCGAUUCUUGCAUUUGGUACAUGGGGAAUUAGGCCCCUCAUGGGCUUAACCAGAGCUACCUUGUUUGAGAAGGGAAAUGAUGCAAAUUCACAAAAGAGCAGCACACAAUACAUUGUUGUGUCAUAUCUUCAGCCUUUGCUGCUUUGGAGUGGAGCACUCCUUUUCUGCAGAACAUUGGACCCAGUAGUAUUGUCUUCAAGUGCCAGCCAAGCUGUUAAAACUCGCUUUCUUAGCUUUGCGCAGUCCAUGUCAACAGUGUUGGCAUUUGCCUGCUGUUUAUCAAGCCUACUUCAGCAGGUGCAGAAAUUUUUUAUGGAGACAAAUAAUCCAGCCGAUACCAGAAAUAUGGGUUUCAGUUUUGCUGGGAAGCUGUUUACACUGCUGCGUGGGUCGCUGCUGCUUCAUUGUUUAUGGAGCUUUUGGGUUUCUCUACCCAAAAAUGGCUAACAGCUGGAGGUCUGGGGACAGUACUGCUUACUCUCGCUGGUCGUGA
Molecule: long non-coding RNA, 1009 nt
Organism: Brassica napus (rape)
Lineage: Eukaryota; Viridiplantae; Streptophyta; Magnoliopsida; Brassicales; Brassicaceae
Exons: 9
Source: RefSeq, a predicted model, not a curated record